AUACAUUAAAAUACGCAACCAACCGUCAUUGAACCGUCCAAUCAGAUCAAAGGAGUAAUCGUCGUAGAUCGUGCGUUAUCGAUAAUGUUCGGUGCCUGGAGAAAAUUGACAAUUGACAAGAGAAUUGUUUAUUAUUUUUGACUUUUUAGUUCGUUUAAUUUAAUAAUUACUAAAACCAGUAGUUCGAAAGAUAUAUUUAAAAAUAAAAGAUAAAAUCCAAAAAAUUAAUUAUCUAUUAACGUGGAUUUGGACGACAAUAGGUUUUUAGUUUGUGAUGUUUCAUGUGAUGAUCAUUUUCAUGUUCAUCGUCUUUGAAUUGACAUGAGGAUAUCUAUGGAAAAGUAACUAAUCUGAAAGUAAGCCAACAUAUCGUUUGUCCUUUGUGUGCUAAAGAAAAGAUUUUCUUUUCGCAUCAUGAGGAAGUAUUACAUCAAUUAAAAAAUGUUAGGAAGUUGAUUACUUGUCAUGGAAAAGUAUACCAAUGGAAAUUAUUUGUUAAAGAAGUAUAAUUCUAAGGGUUUUAAGAAUAAAUUGGUUGAACCCAAAAUCUGGAGGAAGUACCUAUAUCCAUACACAGAAUAUGCCCAUUAAAAAUACUAGUCCAAAUUUGCUUUAAUGGUAGACAAUUAUUCAAUACAAAUUAACUUUUUAAGUGACUGAAAUAUUAAAUAGUUUAGAAUAUGGUAUAACAAUGUAAAAAAAUAUUAUUUUCAGGAACGAUUAGGGCCCGAUAUAUUUGAAACUCAUGUUGGACAUAGUAUUGAGUUGGGUAGAAUAUUAUUCUACGUUAAGUGAGGGUAUCAGAUACCUAUUAUUGUACUGUAUUUUAAUAUAUACAUUAGAAUUGUUGGUUUUUU
Molecule: long non-coding RNA, 857 nt
Organism: Sitophilus oryzae (rice weevil)
Lineage: Eukaryota; Metazoa; Arthropoda; Insecta; Coleoptera; Curculionidae
Exons: 3
Source: RefSeq, a predicted model, not a curated record